UUGUCCUUUAAGUCACAAGUGUCAACCCCAAGGCCUGUGGGCCUAAUGCGGCCCAACACAUCAUUUUAUACGGCCCACCAGGACUUCAAUUGUGUAUGGCUGUCUUAAGGUCUGUACUAAUGUGUAUUGCAUAGGUUGACCAUUCUAUGACCAUUGCAUAGAAUGGUCAGCAUAUACUGCAUUUUAUUUUGAGACAUAUCCUACAUUUUAUGUGUGAAAUUUCAUUUUUAUUUACUUAUUUUUCUUGAUGUUAAAAUUUUGAAUUUAAUGUUUUUUAUUUCGAUGAGGAAAAAGUCUGCUGCAGUCAAAUUCAUAUAUCACUACUAGCCUGUUCUGGAUUUUCUUAAUCCUGCUCGCUCCCCAACUAAGUUUAAUUUAAUUUUGGCC
Long non-coding RNA from Cynoglossus semilaevis (tongue sole), 387 nucleotides. RefSeq lists it as uncharacterized. The transcript has 2 exons. NCBI's taxonomy places the organism in Eukaryota, Metazoa, Chordata, Actinopteri, Pleuronectiformes, Cynoglossidae. The record is from RefSeq and is a predicted model, not a curated record.